RNAcentral lists this ribosomal RNA (253 nucleotides) under uncultured bacterium. RNAcentral's name for it is "partial 16S ribosomal RNA". It matches the Rfam family "Bacterial small subunit ribosomal RNA", at positions 524 to 776 of the family's 1533-position model. The record is from RNAcentral.
CACGUAGGGGACGAGCGUUGUCCGGAGUCAUUGGGCGUAAAGCGCGCGUAGGCGGCUCGGAAAGUCGGUCGUGAAAUGCCGGGGCUCAACCCCGGGACUGCGUCCGAUACUCCCGAGCUGGAGGCAGGUAGGGGAGAUCGGAAUUCCUGGUGUAGCGGUGAAAUGCGCAGAUAUCAGGAGGAACACCGGUGGCGAAGGCGGAUCUCUGGGCCUUGCCUGACGCUGAGGCGCGAAAGCUAGGGGAGCGAACAGG